CAACAAACUGUGAUAUCGAGCCCGAUUACGAUUUUGCAGAAGAAAUGGCGGACUAACGAUUACAAACUCGCUUGCCGAAUGUUAACGUAGAAAAGGACUGAAAAUACAUAUAAUAACGAGUAGACUCCUUAAUGACGUCUCCUCCUGGAACUGGAUUCCUGUCUAUUAUACGAGAGGCUUUCAUCGGAUGUUCAUAUACAGAAUAUACAUUUCCCUUUGAUCUCAUGGACUUUCUGAGGAACAAAUAUGCAUAGGAUCAUAAUUCUUCAGUAGCCUACCGUGUACUGACAACCUAGUCUGGACCAGAUGCCUUGUGGAAUAUCUAGUCCUUUUAUAACAUAUGAGAUGUACCCAUUAGGAUUUUUUCAAUCUGCAUUUGUUGAAAAUAGAGAAAAAACUGUUCAUUCUGGAUGUUUGCCUUACUCAUCCUAUAAGGAAAUUUUAUCUUAUUAGUCUGCUACAAAUCAAUGUUAAUAUAGAAAUAAAGUUCAUUUUAAAGAG
This is a long non-coding RNA of Magallana angulata, 501 nucleotides long. RefSeq lists it as uncharacterized. Lineage: Eukaryota; Metazoa; Mollusca; Bivalvia; Ostreida; Ostreidae. The transcript is spliced from 2 exons. The record is from RefSeq and is a predicted model, not a curated record.